CCUACGGGGGGCAGCAGUGAGGAAUAUUGGUCAAUGGGCGAGAGCCUGAACCAGCCAAGUCGCGUGAAGGAUGAAGGAUCUCUGGUUUGUAAACUUCUUUUGUCUGGGAAUAAAGUGCGGAACGUGUUCCUUUUUGUAUGUACCAUAUGAAUAAGCAUCGGCUAACUCCGUGCCAGCAGCCGCGGUAAUACGGAGGAUGCGAGCGUUAUCCGGUUUUAAUGGGUUUAAAGGGUGCGUAGGUGGGUAAUUAAGUCAGCGGUGAAAAGUGGGGGCUCAACCAUAAAAUUGCCGUUGAAACUGGGUGACGUGAGUGAAGUGGAGGUAUGCGGAAUGCGUGGUGUAGCGGUGAAAUGCAUAGAUAUCACGCAGAACUCCGAUUGCGAAGGCAGCGUACUAAACCAUAACUGACACUGAGGCACGAAAGCGUGGGGAUCAAACAGGAUUAGAUACCCCGGUAGUC
Molecule: ribosomal RNA, 460 nt
Filed under: uncultured bacterium
Lineage: Bacteria
Description: partial 16S ribosomal RNA
Rfam family: Bacterial small subunit ribosomal RNA
Source: RNAcentral